This 74-nucleotide transfer RNA is filed under the name Acidobacteriota bacterium. RNAcentral describes it as "Acidobacteria bacterium tRNA-Arg". It matches the Rfam family "tRNA". From Rfam's summary of the family: Transfer RNA (tRNA) molecules are approximately 80 nucleotides in length. Their secondary structure includes four short double-helical elements and three loops (D, anti-codon, and T loops). Further hydrogen bonds mediate the characteristic L-shaped molecular structure. tRNAs have two regions of fundamental functional importance: the anti-codon, which is responsible for specific mRNA codon recognition, and the 3' end, to which the tRNAs corresponding amino acid is attached (by aminoacyl-tRNA synthetases). tRNAs cope with the degeneracy of the genetic code in two manners: having more than one tRNA (with a specific anti-codon) for a particular amino acid; and 'wobble' base-pairing, i.e. permitting non-standard base-pairing at the 3rd anti-codon position. Lineage: Bacteria; Pseudomonadati; Acidobacteriota. The record is from RNAcentral.
GGCCCCGUAGCUCAGUUGGAUAGAGCACCGGUCUUCGGAAUCGGGUGUCGGGAGUUCGAAUCUCUCCGGGGCCG